This is a non-coding RNA of Ictidomys tridecemlineatus (thirteen-lined ground squirrel), 72 nucleotides long. The record is from Rfam. Lineage: Eukaryota; Metazoa; Chordata; Mammalia; Rodentia; Sciuridae.
GGGGUUGUAGCUCAUCGGUAGAGUGCUCACCUUACACGUUCGAGACCCUGGGUUCAAUCCUCAGCACCACCU